UACGGAGGGUGCGAGCGUUGUCCGGAAUCACUGGGCGUAGAGGGCGCGUAGGCGGCGCGGAAAGUCGUCGGUGAAAGCUCGGGGCUCAACCCUGAGUCUGCCGGUGAUACUCCCGCGCUCGAGCUCACUAGAGGCAGAUGGAAUUCCGGGUGUAGCGGUGGAAUGCGUAGAGAUCCGGAAGAACACCGGUGGCGAAGGCGGUCUGCUGGGGUGAGGCUGACGCUGAUGCGCGACAGCGUGGGGAGCAAACAGG
RNAcentral lists this ribosomal RNA (253 nucleotides) under uncultured bacterium. Its description in RNAcentral is "partial 16S ribosomal RNA". It matches the Rfam family "Bacterial small subunit ribosomal RNA", at positions 524 to 776 of the family's 1533-position model. The record is from RNAcentral.